UACGUAGGGUGCGAGCGUUAAUCGGAAUUACUGGGCGUAAAGCGAGCGCAGACGGUUAUUUAAGUCAGAUGUGAAAUCCCCGAGCUCAACUUGGGACGUGCAUUUGAAACUGGGUAGCUAGAGUGUGUCAGAGGGGGGUAGAAUUCCACGUGUAGCAGUGAAAUGCGUAGAGAUGUGGAGGAAUACCGAUGGCGAAGGCAGCCCCCUGGGAUAACACUGACGUUCAUGCUCGAAAGCGUGGGUAGCAAACAGG
Molecule: ribosomal RNA, 253 nt
Filed under: uncultured bacterium
Lineage: Bacteria
Description: partial 16S ribosomal RNA
Rfam family: Bacterial small subunit ribosomal RNA
Source: RNAcentral